AAAUCGACGUGUGUGCCUUUGUUUUUCUUUUUUUCCUUUCGAUUACUUGAUGAUGCACUCGCAUAAAACUCUUUUUAAGCACGUCUCGGAGACAGAGCUACCAGAUUUUUUUUCACUUAAGAGGCUCUGACAAAAAUACUUAAUGUAUUAUACUAUUUAUUAAUCAGGUGUAAGAAAACUAUGCAAGCUAGGAAUCUGCAUUACUCACUCCACCUCAUGCCUCAUGGUAUUUGUGUCGAUCACUUUUAUUUUUUUAGUACAUCUAUAAAUAUAUCAACAAUAUUUUUAUCUCUAUGUAAUUUUAUUGUAAAAGUAGACUUAAUGAUCUAUCUAACGAUAUUUUAUAUACUAUAAAUACUAUUAUUUUAUAUAUAUUUGGUUAAAGUAAAAAAUAUUUAGCUUCUCAGUCUCAGAAAACAAUAACGGCACUUGUUGUGGGACUGACCGACGACGGAGUAGUACAGUAUAUUCUCAUGUUUAAUAGAUAGAUACAGUAGCUGUUACUGCUACACAUGAGUACACAGUAUAUUCUCAUCUCAUGUUUAAUAAUAAGAGA
This 556-nucleotide long non-coding RNA is filed under the name Zea mays. Its description in RNAcentral is "long non-coding RNA NONZMAT000058". Lineage: Eukaryota; Viridiplantae; Streptophyta; Magnoliopsida; Poales; Poaceae. The record is from RNAcentral.